UCUCUCGCUGGAAGUUAGUAUACGGUGAGUAGAUGUGAAACUUUGUUUCGAGUUUCACUUGUUUCGAGUUUGAUGCGUGUUGCACUUGUUGCAGUUUAUCUUAUACGGAGCCAUUUCUUUGAUCGGCAUUUGUUUUGAGUAUGACACUUAAACGAGGUUAUUACGGAUUGCCAAGUGAGACGUGCACUAUUUUACACAUCAACGUUACAUCAACCGAAACCGUCGCUUUUUCUGUACAUGGCGCGAAGAAGCGACAGGAAUGACAUGGACAUCCUCAGGAUCUGAAAGAGAAGACAAUACAGCUGUCAUUUUGAGCGACGUCUGAGACCGCAGAAUCAUGAACAUUAUUUUGCGAAUCGACUCGGCCUCCAGUGAAGUCCAGUGCGACUG
This is a long non-coding RNA of Nasonia vitripennis (jewel wasp), 390 nucleotides long. RefSeq lists it as uncharacterized. The record is from RefSeq and is a predicted model, not a curated record. Lineage: Eukaryota; Metazoa; Arthropoda; Insecta; Hymenoptera; Pteromalidae. The transcript is spliced from 3 exons.